GCGCGUAAAUUGCCCGAAUCCUGACACAGGGAGGUAGUGACAAGAAAUAACAAUACAGGGCUACUUUAGUCUUGUAAUUGGAAUGAGUACAAUUUACAUCUCUUCACGAGGAUCAAUUGGAGGGCAAGUCUGGUGCCAGCAGCCGCGGUAAUUCCAGCUCCAAUAGCGUAUAUUAAAGUUGUUGCAGUUAAAACGCUCGUAGUCGGAUUUCGGGGCCUGCCUGCCGGUCUGCCGAUGGGUAUGCACUGGCAGGCGCGUCCUUCCUUCCGGAGACUGCCCCUACUCUUAACUGAGCGGGGUCGGGAGACGGAUCGUUUACUUUGAAAAAAUCAGAGUGUUUCAAGCAGGCAGCUCGCUCUUGCAUGGAUUAGCAUGGGAUAAUGAAAUAGGACUUUGGUGCUAUUUUGUUGGUUUCGGACACCGAAGUAAUGAUUAACAGGGACAGUCAGGGGCACUCGUAUUCC
This 464-nucleotide ribosomal RNA is filed under the name Haptophyta environmental samples. Its description in RNAcentral is "SSU rRNA". It matches the Rfam family "Eukaryotic small subunit ribosomal RNA", at positions 432 to 900 of the family's 1831-position model. Lineage: Eukaryota; Haptophyta. The record is from RNAcentral.